This 950-nucleotide ribosomal RNA is filed under the name uncultured organism. RNAcentral describes it as "bacterial SSU rRNA". It matches the Rfam family "Bacterial small subunit ribosomal RNA", at positions 524 to 1487 of the family's 1533-position model. The record is from RNAcentral.
UACGGAGGAUGCAGGCGUUAUCCGGAUUUAUUAGGUUUAAAGGGUGUUCAGGCUGUCUGGUAAGUCAGAGGUGAAAGUCGGUUGCUUAACGAUCGAACUGCCUUUGAAACUGUCAGACUUGAGUAUGGAUGUGGUAGNCGGAAUGUGUAGUGUANCGGUGAAAUGCAUAGAUAUUACACAGAACUCCAAUUGCGAAGGCAGCUUACCAAACCAGCACUGACGCUGAAGCACGAAAGCGUGGGUAGCGAACAGGAUUAGAUACCCUGGUGGUCCACGCAGUAAACGAUGCUCACUCGCUGUUGGCAAUACACCGUCAGCGGCUAAGGGAAACCGAUAAGUGAGCCACCUGGGGAGUACGAUCGCAAGAUUGAAACUCAAAGGAAUUGACGGGGGCCCGCACAAGCGGUGGAACAUGUGGUUUAAUUCGAUGAUACGCGAGGAACCUUACCUGGGCUUAAAUGUGAAGUGCAUUGUUUGGAGACAGACAUUUCCUUCGGGACUCUUUACAAGGUGCUGCAUGGUUGUCGUCAGCUCGUGCCGUGAGGUGUCGGGUUAAGUCCCAUAACGAGCGCAACCCCUAUUGUUAGUUACCAGCGCGUAAAGGCGGGGACUCUAACGAGACUGCCGGUGUAAACCGCGAGGAAGGUGGGGAUGACGUCAAAUCAGCACGGCCCUUAUGUCCAGGGCUACACACGUGUUACAAUGGUCGGUACAGAGGGCAGCUAGACAGCAAUGUCAAGCGAAUCUCAAAAGCCGAUCCCAGUUCGGAUUGGAGUCUGCAACCCGACUCCAUGAAGGUGGAAUCGCUAGUAAUCGCGCAUCAGCCAUGGCGCGGUGAAUACGUUCCCGGGCCUUGUACACACCGCCCGUCAAGCCAUGGAAGUCUGGGGUGCCUGAAGGCCGUAACCGCAAGGAGCGGUCUAGGGUAAACAGAUGACUGGGGCUAAGUC